RNAcentral lists this ribosomal RNA (429 nucleotides) under Chloroflexota bacterium. Its description in RNAcentral is "Chloroflexi bacterium partial 16S ribosomal RNA". It matches the Rfam family "Bacterial small subunit ribosomal RNA", at positions 355 to 776 of the family's 1533-position model. The record is from RNAcentral. Lineage: Bacteria; Bacillati; Chloroflexota.
UGGGGAAUAUUGCACAAUGGGCGCAAGCCUGAUGCAGCCAUGCCGCGUGUAUGAAGAAGGCCUUCGGGUUGUAAAGUACUUUCAGCGGGGAGGAAGGGAGUAAAGUUAAUACCUUUGCUCAUUGACGUUACCCGCAGAAGAAGCACCGGCUAACUCCGUGCCAGCAGCCGCGGUAAUACGGAGGGUGCAAGCGUUAAUCGGAAUUACUGGGCGUAAAGCGCACGCAGGCGGUUUGUUAAGUCAGAUGUGAAAUCCUCGGGCUCAACCUGGGAACUGCAUCUGAGACUGGCAAGCUUGAGUCUCGUAGAGGGGGGUAGAAUUCCAGGUGUAGCGGUGAAAUGCGUAGAGAUCUGGAGGAAUACCGGUGGCGAAGGCGGCCCCCUGGACGAAGACUGACGCUCAGGUGCGAAAGCGUGGGGAGCAAACAGG